UACAGAGGGUGCAAGCGUUAAUCGGAAUUACUGGGCGUAAAGCGUGCGUAGACGGUUAUGUAAGUCGGGUGUGAAAGCCCCGGGCUCAACCUGGGAAUUGCAUUCGAGACUGUGUAGCUAGGGUGCGGAAGAGGGAAGCGGAAUUUCCGGUGUAGCGGUGAGAUGCGUAGAUAUCGGAAGGAACACCAGUGGCGAAAGCGGCUUCCUGGUCCAGCACCGACGUUCAGGCACGAAAGCGUGGGGAGCAAACAGG
RNAcentral lists this ribosomal RNA (253 nucleotides) under uncultured bacterium. RNAcentral's name for it is "partial 16S ribosomal RNA". It matches the Rfam family "Bacterial small subunit ribosomal RNA", at positions 524 to 776 of the family's 1533-position model. The record is from RNAcentral.